RNAcentral lists this long non-coding RNA (1421 nucleotides) under Salmo salar (Atlantic salmon). RNAcentral describes it as "lncRNA (ENSSSAG00000117470.1)". The record is from RNAcentral. Lineage: Eukaryota; Metazoa; Chordata; Actinopteri; Salmoniformes; Salmonidae.
GUAAGUCAACCUAGAACGAUGCUGACUUUGCCAGGUUUUUCCUAACAUGGUUUGUACAAAUCUCAAGGGGCUGAGUCACUGGCUUAUUGGUGCUCUUCCAUGCCGUCCCUAGGAGUGGUGCGUCACUUGAGUGGGUUGAGUCACUAACGUGGUCUUCCUGUCUGGGUUGGCGCCCCCCCUUGGGUUGUGCCGUGGCGGAGAUCUUUGUGGGCUAUACUCGGCCUUGUCUCAGGAUGGUAAGUUGGUGGUUGAAGAUAUCCCUCUAGUGGUGUGGGGGCUGUGCUUUGGCAAAGUGGGUGGGGUUAUAUCCUUCCUGUUUGGCCCUGUCCGGGGGUAUCAUCGGAUGGGGCCACAGUGUCUACUGACCCCUCCUGUCUCAGCCUCCAGAAUUUAUGCUGCAGUAGUUUGUGUCGGGGGGCUAGGGUCAGUCUGUUAUAUCUGGAGUAUUUCUCCUAUCUUAUCUGGUGUCCUGUGUGAAUUUAAGUAUGCUCUCUCUAAUUCUCUCUUUCUUUCUCUCUCUCUGAGGACCUGAGCCCUAGGACCAUGCCUCAGGACUACCUGGCAUGAUGACUCCUUGCUGUCCCCAGUCCACCUGGCCGUGCUGCUGCUCCAGUUUCAAUUGUUCUGCCUGCGGCUAUGUAACCCGGACCUGUUCACCGGACGUGCUACCUGUCCCAGACCUGCUGUUUUCAACUCUCUAAAGACAGAAGUAGCGGUAGAGAUACUCUGAAUGAUCGGCUAUGAAAAGCCAACUGACAUUUACUCUUGAGGUGCUGACUUGUUGCACCCUCGACAACUACUGUGAUUAUUAUUAUUUGACCAUGCUGGUCAUUUAUGAACAUUUGAACAUCUUGGCCAUGUUCUGUUAUAAUCUCCACCCGGCACAGCCAGAAGAGGACUGGCCACCCCUCAUAGCCUGGUUCCUCUCUAGGUUUCUUCCUAGGUUUUGGCCUUUCUAGGGAGUUUUUCCUAGCCACCGUGCUUCUACACCUGCAUUGCUUUCUGUUUGGGGUUUUAGGCUGGGUUUCUGUACAGCACUUUGAGAUAUCAGCUGAUGUAAGAAGGGCUAUAUAAAUACAUUUGAUUUGAUUCCUGGUUCUUUAUAAAAUGGCUGCUGUCAAAAUUAGCAGUGAAGAAGUGUGUGUAAUUAUGAAUGAUCAUUUUUCUGAGUGUGAUAUUCAAAUGUUUUCUAGUAAGUGAAUGUCUCAGGAAUAGUUAAGUCGUCAAGACUGUGUAAUAAUGUUUUCACAUUAAAUAAUAACUAUCAAGAAAUGUCCUCUGUAGUGGACACCCGGAUGCCGUAACAAUUUUUUUCACUUACUGUACCCAUUGACUAAUGUAUUUUUUUUCUUUCACAUUUUCGUCCUAAUGACCACUACAGAGGAAAAUGGUGCACUUUUAAUAAAAGAUAAAUAACAAUA